AACGAACGCUGGCGGCAUGCCUAACACAUGCAAGUCGAACGAGACCUUCGGGUCUAGUUGCGCACGGGUGCUUAACGCGUGGGAACCUGCCCUUAGGUUCGGAAUAACUCCCCGAAAGGGGUGCUAAUACCGGAUAAUGUCUUCUGACCAAAGAUUUAUCGCCUUUGGAUGUGCCCGCGUUGGAUUAGCUAGUUGGUAGGGUAAAAGCCUACCAAGGCGACGAUCCAUAGCUGGUCUGAGAGGAGGAUCAGCAACACUGGGACUGGGACACGGCCCGGACUCCUACGGUAGGCAGCGGAGGCGAAUAUAAGGAAAUGGGCGAAGGGCUGAACCAGCCAUGACGCGUGAGUGAUGAAGGCGUUAGGGUUAUACAGCUCUUUUAACCGAAAUGGUAAUGACAGUACCGGGAGAAUAAGCACCGGCUAACUACGUG
This 433-nucleotide ribosomal RNA is filed under the name uncultured bacterium. RNAcentral describes it as "partial 16S ribosomal RNA". It matches the Rfam family "Bacterial small subunit ribosomal RNA", at positions 29 to 507 of the family's 1533-position model. The record is from RNAcentral.